AUGGCAGCGGCACCACACGUGGGCGUGGGCGUCUGGUGUGAAGACGUUGGGAGCCUGGGAAGAGGGAGCAGCCUGCCUUGGAGCGACGGGAGAGGGGAAAGUCACGUAUCCUCGGAGAAACAGCUGAAGAGCGGAAAGGGCGAUGUGCACAAGCCCUGUGUGCCAGCUGGCUCCCAAACGGGAUGCCGGUCGCAGGAUGCCCUACGUAGGCUGGCGCCUCUAGAGCCCCGCCUUGCAGAGCAGAAUGCGGAGUUAGCCCCCCUCGCUAGAACCCUGUGGCCAGGUUCCUGUGGCCAGGUUGCUGACCCUCUGUGUGUCUUGCCAGCCGGAGAGAACAGAAGCCUUCCCUCCACUCCUCUUCAGACUCCCUUUACUUAUAAGCUGGCCGCUGGUCACACCAGUCACUAGGAUGCUGAAGUUCACUGAGAAAUCAGGGAAAGUGAGCAUAAAAGAUAGCACUGCACAGAGAGGGCUCGAAAGGACAGAGGGGAAAAGAAUUAGACAUCUCUUCUUUGUUUUAAAAAGAAUCCUGUCCUUCUGGCCUUAGGUCCCGGAGGUCAGAGGGCAGGAGGAGACAGGGAGGUGGGAGAAAAGAAAGAGGUGGGGUGAGACAGAGAGAGAGAGAGUUUGGGAUUCCUUUGGAUCUCUGGUGUUCAAAAUAGCA
Molecule: long non-coding RNA, 664 nt
Filed under: Felis catus (domestic cat)
Lineage: Eukaryota; Metazoa; Chordata; Mammalia; Carnivora; Felidae
Description: lncRNA (ENSFCAG00000045229.2)
Source: RNAcentral